Molecule: ribosomal RNA, 519 nt
Filed under: bacterium A5S_VP6_F9
Lineage: Bacteria
Description: partial 16S ribosomal RNA
Rfam family: Bacterial small subunit ribosomal RNA
Source: RNAcentral
UACUACGGGAGGCAGCAGUGGGGAAUAUUGGACAAUGGGGGCAACCCUGAUCCAGCCAUGCCGCGUGAGUGAUGAAGGCCCUAGGGUUGUAAAGCUCUUUCAGCGAGGAGGAUAAUGACGUUACUCGCAGAAAAAGCCCCGGCUAACUUCGUGCCAGCAGCCGCGGUAAUACAAAGGGGGCUAGCGUUGUUCGGAAUCACUGGGCGUAAAGCGCACGUAGGCGGAUUGAUAAGUUAGGGGUGAAAUCCCGGGGCUCAACCUCGGAACUGCCUUUGAUACUGUCAGUCUUGAGUCCAAGAGAGGUGAGUGGAACUCCGAGUGUAGAGGUGAAAUUCGUAGAUAUUCGGAAGAACACCAGUGGCGAAGGCGGCUCACUGGCUCGGUACUGACGCUGAGGUGCGAAAGCGUGGGGAGCAAACAGGAUUAAAUACCCUGGUAGCCCCCCCCGAAAAACAAGGAAGCUAGCCGUCAGGUAGCAUGCUAUUUGGGGGCCCACCUAAACCAUUAAGCUUCCCCCCC